RNAcentral lists this ribosomal RNA (369 nucleotides) under uncultured Glomus. RNAcentral describes it as "SSU rRNA". It matches the Rfam family "Eukaryotic small subunit ribosomal RNA", at positions 569 to 944 of the family's 1831-position model. The record is from RNAcentral. Lineage: Eukaryota; Fungi; Glomeromycota; Glomeromycetes; Glomerales; Glomeraceae.
AGCAGCCGCGGUAAUUCCAGCUCCAAUAGCGUAUAUUAAAGUUGUUGCAGUUAAAAAGCUCGUAGUUGAAUUUCGGGGUCAGUAGGUCGGUCGUGCCACUGGUAUGAACUGGUUUUACUGAUUCCUCCCUCUUGAAGAACUGUAAUGCCAUUAAUUUGGUGUUGCAGGGAAUCAGGACUGUUACUUUGAAAAAUUAGAGUGUUUAAAGCAGGCUUUAGCUUGAAUACAUUAGCAUGGAAUAAUGAAAUAGGACGUUUGAUCCUAUUUUGUUGGUUUCUAGGAUUGACGUAAUGAUUAAUAGGGAUAGUUGGGGCAUUAGUAUUCAAUUGUCAGAGGUGAAAUUCUUGGAUUUAUUGAAGACUAACUACU